Molecule: ribosomal RNA, 1224 nt
Filed under: Triticum aestivum (bread wheat)
Lineage: Eukaryota; Viridiplantae; Streptophyta; Magnoliopsida; Poales; Poaceae
Description: partial small subunit ribosomal RNA
Source: RNAcentral
AUGGAGCCAUGGGAGUGGAGCGAGGGAGGCAGCAUCAAGAGGCCCAUGGCUCCGCCCGUUGCCGCUCUCGGCGCCGAACUCCUGGGGAAGAUAUUCCGCCGCCUCCCCGACAUGGCGUCGCUCGCCAGCGCCGCCCGCGUCUGCAAGCGCUGGGGCCGCGUGGCCUCCGACCCGGCCGUCUUCCGCCGCUUCGGCUCCCUCCGCAGGCCGCCGCUCGUCGGCGUCCUCGUCACCGACCGCGGCCGCGAGAAGUUCCCCCUCUAUUGCUCUGAUAUCUGCUUCAUCAAGGCGCCCUCUCGCAACAAUCUCGAGCUGGCCUCCGCCGCGGCGAACGGCGACUUCUACUUCAUGCACCACCCCGACGUCGACGACGACGACGAGUGGCGCCUCCGUGGCUGCGACGGCGGCUUCCUCCUCUUCUCCCUCGGCCGCUACAGCACGGACCUCGCCGUGUACGACCCUCUCGACCGGACCGCCGUCUUCUUCAAGCCGCCCCACGACUUCCGCCCGUUCCGCUACGCCAUCGUCGCCGACGAGGCCGACGCCUCGUUCCAGGUCAUCGCCAUACAGCCCGACCCCUGGGGCGACGAUGCCUCGGUUGUCUUCUCCUCCCGCACCCGUAGCUGGGCCGAGAACGGGUCGGUGAGCUACAGAUUUGCCUGGCCCUACACCGACGGCAUUGCCGCCGGGCGGCUUGUCUACUGGCGGUCCAACACCAAGAAGGACUGUUAUUGCGAAGCGAAGGAGGAGAUAUUGGUGGUUGACACGACAACCAUGGCGUGGUCGUACAUAACCGCGCCGGUCCCGGUCGGCGAAUCGUACUGCGUGACGCACAUGGCGGAGCACGGCGGGCUGUGCAUCGUGUCCAGCAAGGAGCAACGCGUGCUGCUCUGGGUCAGUGACGCCAAUGGUGGAUGGGUGGUCAAGCAGGAGGUCUCGCUGCUGAGUCAGUUUCCCUACCUGAAGAAGCUUCGUCGCGACCAGUGGAUGAAGAGGGUGCGCAUCCUGGCAAUGAGGGCCGGCUAUGUCUACAUGGAGUUCUGGUCCAUAAGGAAGACCGACUCCUAUCUUGUGCUCAAUCUCAACACCGUCAAGCUGGAAAUGUUUCUCAACAAUGGGCUCAACAAUGAGGGUAGGCCUUACAGAGGCCCUGCUUUUCCGUUCUUUUUGCGAAUGGCACCUCUGCCUGCCGCAGAUGAUGACGAGAAGCUUCAAGAUGCUUGA